Molecule: long non-coding RNA, 611 nt
Filed under: Equus asinus (donkey)
Lineage: Eukaryota; Metazoa; Chordata; Mammalia; Perissodactyla; Equidae
Description: lncRNA (ENSEASG00005029495.1)
Source: RNAcentral
ACAAUGCUUUUCUACAACUGGAAGGACCCACUGUGCGGAGGGCGCGGGGAGAGCGGACGGUACCAUCGGCCGCCGCGCCCUCGCGAGCGCCGCCGUGUGGCGGGAGGGCGAAGUGCCCGGUGAUUGGCCGUGCGGCGCGUCUCCAAGGGGAAGAGGAGUGAGGGGCGAGGGUUCGCCCCGCCCCUGGAGUCCUCUCUGCGUUGUGUGACAGUUCUUGUGGCGGAGAAGGAGGUUUCAUCGAGUGUGGAUACCCACCCACCCUGCCUCCCAGUGUCAAGAGCACAUGGUCCGCGCUGAGCUGCGGGUGUAGCCCAAAGGACUUGAGACCUCGUGUUCUGGGGGAGGACAGACAGAGUUCACCGUCUCCAGCUGAGGAAGAACCUCUCAAGCCAAGGAGGUCUUGUCACAAGAGAUUUGGGGAAUGAAGACGUUAUGGUGGAGAUUCAGGUUGAGGAGCCUGUUCACAUACCUGCCGCCUAUUUAAGUCAACGACAGCUUUUCACUUCACCGGUAAAGUGGGUCCCCCAAGCCCUCCUCUCAGCUCAGUGGAAGUGCAUUAUUCACAAUAGCCAAGACAUGGAAGCAACUCAAGUGCCCAUAAACUGAUGAAU